AGGCAGCCCCCUAUCAAAAACCAAUUGAUAAGGGAGGUGUUAUUCUACUCGUAAAUUGUUUCUUUGGCUCUUCAGAUCUGCUGAUAUGUGUAAUGACGCAGCUCUAGUAACGCUCAAGUAUACU
Molecule: non-coding RNA, 124 nt
Organism: Spinacia oleracea (spinach)
Lineage: Eukaryota; Viridiplantae; Streptophyta; Magnoliopsida; Caryophyllales; Amaranthaceae
Source: Rfam